GUGAGAUGAUGCUGGGUAAAGACACUUGAUGCCAAGCCUGAGGACCUGAGUUUGAUACCCAGAACUCCUAUGGUGGAAGAAUGGACUUUUGAAAGUUGUUCUCUGACCACACAGCCAGCUCCAACUCCACUGCUCUGCUGCCCUAAGAGAGAAUUCGGUGGCCACUCUAGUAUGUGUUAACAGACAGUGACAUCAUUUCGAAGCAGGAAACGGCUCUCGGGUUACCAUCAAAUUGACCUAAGCUUCAGAAGGAUUACAGGACAGACCUCUGCUAUGUGUGGGGAUGCCAUUCCAGCUAAAUCAAAGGUUAAAGGUCAGACAGCAAAGCUCUUCCCAGUGGUCUUUAUUUAUGCUUCUCAGAGUUGGGAUGGGGAAACGUCUUGAGGAAGAGGGAUGGCUCAGGCACACCAAAACUCGCCCUCUUCAUUACUUCCCCUGCCGAGAGGUGUGUGCUUCCCAUCCCCCCUCACUCCCCUCUGAAGGACAGGUGAGGAAGUACUGGUGCCCCUAACUGGCCAUCUUGGUGAGGCGAUUGGGCAGUGGUUCCCAGAAAGUCUUACCUGAUAACCGAUGGGUUAAUAGUCAUCCAUACUUGUGCCAAAAGAUGGUUUUUUCUUAUUCUGAUGACUUGGGAAGAAGUGAGGUCAGCAUCUUAAACAGCAAAUCAUAAUGUCAAAGGAGUGGUGGGGACAUUUGUGGACAGUGACUGGACCGUAUAAUCCAUGUGACACCAC
Non-coding RNA from Peromyscus maniculatus bairdii (prairie deer mouse), 734 nucleotides. The record is from RefSeq and is a predicted model, not a curated record. Lineage: Eukaryota; Metazoa; Chordata; Mammalia; Rodentia; Cricetidae.